This 496-nucleotide ribosomal RNA is filed under the name uncultured bacterium. RNAcentral's name for it is "partial 16S ribosomal RNA". It matches the Rfam family "Bacterial small subunit ribosomal RNA", at positions 28 to 506 of the family's 1533-position model. The record is from RNAcentral.
GAUGAACGCUGGCGGCGUGCCUAAUACAUGCAAGUCGAGCGAACAGAUGAGGAGCUUGCUCCUCUGACGUUAGCGGCGGACGGGUGAGUAACACGUGGAUAACCUACCUAUAAGACUGGGAUAACUUCGGGAAACCGGAGCUAAUACCGGAUAAUAUAUUGAACCGCAUGGUUCAAUAGUGAAAGACGGUUUUGCUGUCACUUAUAGAUGGAUCCGCGCCGCAUUAGCUAGUUGGUAAGGUAACGGCUUACCAAGGCGACGAUGCGUAGCCGACCUGAGAGGGUGAUCGGCCACACUGGAACUGAGACACGGUCCAGACUCCUACGGGAGGCAGCAGUAGGGAAUCUUCCGCAGUGGGCGAAAGCCUGACGGAGCAACGCCGCGUGAGUGAUGAAGGUCUUCGGAUCGUAAAACUCUGUUAUUAGGGAAGAACAAAUGUGUAAGUAACUAUGCACGUCUUGACGGUACCUAAUCAGAAAGCCACGGCUAACUACGU